ACGAACACUGGCGGCGUGCUUAACACAUGCAAGUCGAACGGAAAGGCCCUGCUUUUGUGGGGUGCUCGAGUGGCGAACGGGUGAGUAACACGUGAGUAACCUGCCCUUGACUUUGGAAUAACUUCAGGAAACUGGGGCUAAUACCGGAUAGGAGCUCCUGCUGCAUGGUGGGGGUUGGAAAGUUUCGGCGGUUGGGGAUGGACUCGCGGCUUAUCAGCUUGUUGGUGGGGUAGUGGCUUACCAAGGCUUUGACGGGUAGCCGGCCUGAGAGGGUGACCGGCCACAUUGGGACUGAGAUACGGCCCAGACUCCUACGGGAGGCAGCAGUGGGGAAUAUUGCACAAUGGGCGGAAGCCUGAUGCAGCAACGCCGCGUGCGGGAUGACGGCCUUCGGGUUGUAAACCGCUUUCGCCUGUGACGAAGCGUGAGUGACGGUAAUGGGUAAAGAAGCACCGGCUAACUACGUG
RNAcentral lists this ribosomal RNA (467 nucleotides) under uncultured bacterium. RNAcentral's name for it is "partial 16S ribosomal RNA". It matches the Rfam family "Bacterial small subunit ribosomal RNA", at positions 29 to 507 of the family's 1533-position model. The record is from RNAcentral.